Molecule: ribosomal RNA, 491 nt
Filed under: uncultured bacterium
Lineage: Bacteria
Description: partial 16S ribosomal RNA
Rfam family: Bacterial small subunit ribosomal RNA
Source: RNAcentral
AGUGAACGCUGGCGGUAGGCCUAACACAUGCAAGUCGAACGGCAGCACAGUAAGAGCUUGCUCUUACGGGUGGCGAGUGGCGGACGGGUGAGGAAUACAUCGGAAUCUACUUUUUCGUGGGGGAUAACGUAGGGAAACUUACGCUAAUACCGCAUACGACCUACGGGUGAAAGCAGGGGAUCUUCGGACCUUGCGCGAUUGAAUGAGCCGAUGUCGGAUUAGCUAGUUGGCGGGGUAAAGGCCCACCAAGGCGACGAUCCGUAGCUGGUCUGAGAGGAUGAUCACCCACACUGGAACUGAGACACGGCCCAGACUCCUACGGGGGGCAGCAGGGGGGAAUUUUGGAAAAGGGGCGCAACCCUGACCCAGCCAUCCCGGGGGGGUGAAGAAGGCCUUCGGGUUGUAAAGCCCUUUUUUUGGGAAAAAAAAGCAGCAGGUUAAUCCCCCGCUGUUCUGACGGUACCCAAAGAAUAAGCACCGGCUAACUUCGU